UUUCACCCUAUGUAGCUAAGAAGACCCCAAAGCAAAGAAAGAGUGUGAAAGCUUUUGGGAAUAAUUGAAAAAAAGUUGAAAGAGCUGGUGCAUGAAAUCCAGUAAAAGCAGCUCUCCGGUCCAGUGAAGCUCGGGACAAUUGGCAGCACCAGGAAGGUUAUCACUGUCUGCAUCAGAUGACUCUCCUGUGUGAGGUCAAAACCCCAUUGGAUUUGUAAUGAGGAGGUGGAUGAGGCUGUAAAGUCAUUCCCAAGAUGGAGCAGUGAGGGCCUUGAGGCAAGAAGGAGCCAAUGAAGGGAAGAAAGGAAAUGGACCGAAAGAUCAUAAUCAGUAAAUUUCUGCAUCCUA
This is a long non-coding RNA of Vidua macroura (Pin-tailed whydah), 348 nucleotides long. RefSeq lists it as uncharacterized. Lineage: Eukaryota; Metazoa; Chordata; Aves; Passeriformes; Viduidae. The record is from RefSeq and is a predicted model, not a curated record. The transcript is spliced from 2 exons.